Molecule: transfer RNA, 74 nt
Filed under: Candidatus Nealsonbacteria bacterium CG09_land_8_20_14_0_10_42_14
Lineage: Bacteria; Candidatus Nealsoniibacteriota
Description: tRNA-Thr
Rfam family: tRNA
About the family: Transfer RNA (tRNA) molecules are approximately 80 nucleotides in length. Their secondary structure includes four short double-helical elements and three loops (D, anti-codon, and T loops). Further hydrogen bonds mediate the characteristic L-shaped molecular structure. tRNAs have two regions of fundamental functional importance: the anti-codon, which is responsible for specific mRNA codon recognition, and the 3' end, to which the tRNAs corresponding amino acid is attached (by aminoacyl-tRNA synthetases). tRNAs cope with the degeneracy of the genetic code in two manners: having more than one tRNA (with a specific anti-codon) for a particular amino acid; and 'wobble' base-pairing, i.e. permitting non-standard base-pairing at the 3rd anti-codon position.
Source: RNAcentral
GCCGAUGUAGCUUAGGGGCAAAGCAAUGGUUUCGUAAACCAUAGACGGCAGUUCGAUUCUGCCCAUCGGCUCCA